Molecule: long non-coding RNA, 1287 nt
Organism: Anguilla anguilla (European eel)
Lineage: Eukaryota; Metazoa; Chordata; Actinopteri; Anguilliformes; Anguillidae
Exons: 2
Source: RefSeq, a predicted model, not a curated record
UUGGUAGCUGGAUUUAAGGUGAAUACAAAAACCAGUAAACUCUGUGGUUGACCAGGACCAGUGCUGUCCACCCCUGCUGUUUGGGCACGUAUUUCUGCAUGCCUGGCUGACACUGCAGCCUGGAUGCCCCCCGUGACCUGAAACUCAACCUAGGGAAGGCAGAACGCCUGUGCCUCCUGGCAAAGGGUUCUCUGCAAAUUGAUACUUCAGCUGCUGUCAGCAGCCCUGCAGUGUCUCCUGCUCUGCUAAGAACCUUGGCGUGAUCCUGGAUCAUCACCUGAGCUAACUGGGACACAUCAUGGCAACCAACUGGUCCUGCUGGGUCUCCAUGCACACAUCAGAAGAAUCUGCCCCUUCCUCAUCAAAGAGAUUGCACUGUCACAGCUACUCAUCCAAGCUCCCUUAAUUUCUCAUAUGUGCUAUUGCAGAAGAUUAGUGGGGGGUUCUUUUCUGUAUAUUUGUGUUGGCUACAAUAACGGCCUUGAAGGUCACUUUGGACAAAAACAUCAGGUAAAUUAAUAAAAUGUAAUGAGGGUACAUUUGCCACGUGCUCCUAAAGUGUGGUUUAGAAACCUUAAUAUGCCACCAGUGUGGUCUUUUAGGGGAACUAAUAAGAGUUUCAUAUCAUUUGGCAGGCUCCCAGCACAUACACACUCAUCUUCCCUUAACCUGAAUUGGUAAAGAAAAAUAAAUCUCUAGAAGUCUAUUCUCCUUCGGACUUUGAAAUAAGCAGUCCCUACUUCCCCCAGAAAUUAAAUCUGGCAUCACAUUGUGCAGAAUAACAGAGAAGAACAGUAGGUUUUGAUAAAACAGAAUGUGACAUGCUUGCACUUGUAGUCAAAGUACAAUUCCCAUGUUCCAUUUGAAUUUAUGGUUAAUUUCUGGGAUCCCUUCCAGAAAUUUCAGGGUGUUGGCAUGAGGAAACCUUGUAAUUAUUUCAGCGCUCUUGUCAACUGUUGUAACAUAGAUAUGUUUAUAUUGGCACAAUUGUGUAAUUUCACCAUCUGUCAAAGUAAUUACUGAGGAAGGAGCAACAGCAAUUUAGAGGUCUUUGGUAAUAUAUUGUUUUUGCUAAAGGGGAGAGAGUACUUAAGCAGGCAAUCAAGAUUAACAGGGUCAGUAGCUUAAAUUGUACAUGGUGAUGUGUUGCACUAAAAAUAUAAUCGUAAUGGUAUUUGGUCCAAGUCUUCACAUGUAGAUAUGGUAACAUACUGGGCAGCAGCAGAAAUAUCUUGGAAUGCCAGAAAAUGUCUCAAAAUUGAAUUAUUGUUCAGCUACACCGCUCAA